CCUACGGGAGGCAGCAGUGAGGAAUAUUGGUCAAUGGGCGGAAGCCUGAACCAGCCAAGUAGCGUGCAGGAUGACGGCCCUACGGGUUGUAAACUGCUUUUAUACGGGAAUAACGCGCCUUACGUGUAGGGCUUUGCAUGUACCGUAUGAAUAAGGACCGGCUAAUUCCGUGCCAGCAGCCGCGGUAAUACGGAAGGUCCGGGCGUUAUCCGGAUUUAUUGGGUUUAAAGGGAGCGUAGGCCGCAUGUCAAGCGUGACGUGAAAUGUCCGGGCUCAACCCCGGCCCUGCAGUUGGAACUGGGCGGCUAGAGGCCGCGGGAGGCAGGCGGAAUUCGUGGUGUAGCGGUGAAAUGCUUAGAUAUGACGAAGAACCCCGGUUGCGAAGGCAGCCUGCUGGAGGAGGACUGACGCUGAUGCUCGAAAGCGCGGGUAUCGAACAGGAUUAGAUACCCCAGUAGUC
Molecule: ribosomal RNA, 460 nt
Filed under: uncultured bacterium
Lineage: Bacteria
Description: partial 16S ribosomal RNA
Rfam family: Bacterial small subunit ribosomal RNA
Source: RNAcentral